This 1895-nucleotide long non-coding RNA is filed under the name Homo sapiens (human). RNAcentral describes it as "HSALNT0170116". Lineage: Eukaryota; Metazoa; Chordata; Mammalia; Primates; Hominidae. The record is from RNAcentral.
GGUGCGCGGGCCUCGGCCAGGCCUGAGAUGCCGGGAGGGUUUGACCCUGGGGCUGCAUGGACAGCUUAGCGCUCGGCCGCUGGCGACAGCGGAGGGCGGAGGAUCUGCAGGUUCCGGGGGACGUGACAUGUUUUGAGCGCCUGCUGUGUCUCAAGCCCUGUCCUAGGCACUGGAGAUGAGAUGAAGAAACGAUGAGUAGAGGCCUUGCUUACGUUUAUCCUGCAACUCAUGAUGAGGCUUACUCUGCAACUCCAGUGCUCGGCUUUUUACACAACAGAGUCUCUGUUGCCCAGGCUGGAGUACAGUCGCACGAUCUUGGCUCACUGCAACCUCUGCCUCUCAGGUUCGAGUGAUUCUUCUGCCUCAGCCUCCCAAGUUGCUGGGAUUACAGAAACGGGUAUGCAGGAGAUUAGAAGCCAGUGGGCAUGAGCGUGGCUGCCACCAGGUGAAUGCCUGUGCCCUGGCGUCCUGGGGCCCAGAGGACCGGGAGCUUCCAUCAAGAGGCUGCCUCCCAGCACCAAGGCCAGAGAGUGGCCAGGGGAGGCUAAGUACAGGGAUUUCUCAGAAUGGUGGAAGGAGCUCAGCCCAGCCUUGCCCAAGAUGUAUUGCAGGGGAAUCUGGACAUUUUAGCCAUACCAAGAAUCAUUAGAAGAUGCAAGCUGGAAAAAAGAAGGUCCCAGUUUUGGUUUUGAACCCUUCAUGUUGCAGCAAAUGUGAAUCUCCUACAGAUGGGUUUGGGGACUUACCUGUUCAAAUAGCAGCCCGGUGUCCUCUGUGGGUGGGGGGAGGUUUGUCUGUCCUUUCAUUCUAGUAAAUCCACCAUCCUCUGCACGAGAGCCAGGAGAAUCCACAUCACUUCAAAAGAGCCCCCAAAUCCUUACUACGUACUACAGCCUCCUUUCGAAUGUUCCUGGUUGAGAGGGAGAUCAAUUGCAUUAUUUACAAGUCAAAAAAUUUUGUAUCAAACUUCCUAUGAGCUUGGGCACUCAUGGCCUAUGGAGGCCCACCCAGACGCAGCCCCGCCAUCAUGCUUUUUCGUUGUUUUGUGGAUGUACCCAGGGCUAUUUACACACUCUUUCAUUAAAAGGCUUAUUUUUAUAUUUAAAAUGUUCUAAUCUUGGAGUGAAUUUUACUAAAUGCUAGUGUCCAAUCUGUUCCCCAACUGAAGUUAUCAGAGACAGAAUCCCUUUUAUAUUCAAGUGGAAAUUACUCAUUUUCUCUUGGGUUUUCAAUGUAUCGUCUGACUGUGAGGCUGGCAUUAUUUUCUCUGGGUUUGAAAGCUUCCUGAGAUGUCCUGUUUGUAAGCUCCUGUCCGCAUCACGUUAUCUGCAGGGAAUGUGCUCCCUCCAGGGAGUGUCCUCGGCACUGAUGUGGGAAGAGCCCCCUCUAUAAGUCAUCAUGGCAUUCGGUCAUGGGAGAGUUCCAUACGGGAAAGAUGGAGCAGAGGAAGACAAGGUGUUGAAACCAGUACAGCACCACCUGGGAUAUGGAUGAUCCAGAAUUACAGGACACGUCUUCAUUAAGCCUGGAUGGUUCCACUUAAGACGCGGUUUCACUGGCAUCCAUAGUAAUUGACAGAUGUACUCGGGAUCCCUUGUCCAAAAGUCCUGGCUUUCGAGGAGCCCUCUUGGCUGCUGUGCUACCCGCAAACUGCCCCGAGUCCCAGCCAUUCGCCCCCUUGAGUCUCACGCCCAACAGCAAGCUCCUGACACCGGUGGAAAUAUUCCUGUGGGGGUCUCACAUGCCUGGGGCCUUGUUCUGGAAAACACCAUCACAGAGGUAGAGGCAAGAACCAGGGGGUCUGACUCUGUGGUCCCAAAAACCUUAAUGAAUAACAGUUUUGUUUUAGCGGCUUAAAAAACAUCCUGAAGUAUUUUUUAUAUUCUUUCAAGCUC